UGCUUGCACCUGAUUCCUAGCGGCGGACGGGUGAGUAAUGCUUAGGAAUCUGCCUAUUAGUGGGGGACAACGUUCCGAAAGGGACGCUAAUACCGCAUACGUCCUACGGGAGAAAGCAGGGGAUCUUCGGACCUUGCGCUAAUAGAUGAGCCUAAGUCGGAUUAGCUAGUUGGUGGGGUAAAGGCCUACCAAGGCGACGAUCUGUAGCGGGUCUGAGAGGAUGAUCCGCCACACUGGGACUGAGACACGGCCCAGACUCCUACGGGAGGCAGCAGUGGGGAAUAUUGGACAAUGGGGGGAACCCUGAUCCAGCCAUGCCGCGUGUGUGAAGAAGGCCUUUUGGUUGUAAAGCACUUUAAGCGAGGAGGAGGCUUACCUGGUUAAUACCUGGGAUAAGUGGACGUUACUCGCAGAAUAAGCACCGGCUAACUCUGUGCCAGCAGCCGCGGUAAUACAGAGGGUGCAAGCGUUAAUCGGAUUUACUGGGCGUAAAGCGCGCGUAGGUGGCUAAUUAAGUCAAAUGUGAAAUCCCCGAGCUUAACUUGGGAAUUGCAUUCGAUACUGGUUAGCUAGAGUAUGGGAGAGGAUGGUAGAAUUCCAGG
This 602-nucleotide ribosomal RNA is filed under the name Acinetobacter baumannii. RNAcentral describes it as "bacterial SSU rRNA". It matches the Rfam family "Bacterial small subunit ribosomal RNA", at positions 77 to 673 of the family's 1533-position model. The record is from RNAcentral. Lineage: Bacteria; Pseudomonadati; Pseudomonadota; Gammaproteobacteria; Moraxellales; Moraxellaceae.